Molecule: ribosomal RNA, 370 nt
Filed under: uncultured bacterium
Lineage: Bacteria
Description: bacterial SSU rRNA
Rfam family: Bacterial small subunit ribosomal RNA
Source: RNAcentral
GAAGGGGGCGAGCGUUGUUCGGAAUUACUGGGCGUAAAGGACGCGCAGGCGGUCCUUCAAGUCAGAUGUGAAAGCCCCGGGCUCAACCUGGGAACAGCAUUUGAGACUGGAGGACUUGAGGACGGGAGAGGAGAGUGGAAUUCCCAGUGUAGAGGUGAAAUUCGUAGAUAUUGGGAAGAACACCAAUGGCGAAGGCAGCUCUCUGGACCGUUACUGACGCUGAGGCGCGAAAGCGUGGGGAGCAAACAGGAUUAGAUACCCUGGUAGUCCACGCCGUAAACGAUGUGUGCUAGACGUUGGGGGACCUAGUCUCUCGGUGUCGCAGCUAACGCUUUAAGCACACCGCCUGGGGAGUACGGCCGCAAGGUUA